GAAAUGUGUAAAUACUAGGUAUUAUGACUAGGUAUUAUGGUUAUUAUUUGUCUUUUUGUAACUGACAUAAUCUGUUAAAUUGUUGAACGUAUUUUUUGGUCACUAAAUCUAUACUUCAGCAGUCCCCUCUUCUGUCCUCUGCAGACUUUACAUUUCCUGUGAAGGAGGAACUUUGUGCCAUCCCUGUGUAAUGGGAAGGACUUGGACGCUGCGCUGACACUUAUCUCUUCACCCCUCACGAGCAGGUAACCAGAGACAGCUGGGGGCUCUCUUUCUGCCUCCCUUGAAUGGGAAUGCCUUCUGAAUGCCUCUUUCAUGUACCUGCACAAACCCUGCUCUGCUAAAACUGCUACGGUCGAGCUUCUCAAAGGCUGAAUAGGUUUUCAUUGCCUGCAUUUCUGGUCUGAAGCAGACUGAGAGAAAUGAGUGUUAAGUAAACGCAGUGGCAGCCCUGCCAGCGUCAGCAUUCCAGCCUACAGUGCUGCUCUGGACCAGGACACUGCCGGCACAGACUUCUACACAUCCAGCUGUCAGGGGGUUGUUUUACUUGCUAGCAGUUGAAAAGAAGAGGGAUGCAUGGCAGACCAAAGACUGGCAAGUCUAGUUUUUAUGAAGCCGUUUAUUUUUUCUAUAACAAGUGUGUGUUGCCUUAUGGAUGUUGAAUGGGAAUUUAAUACAGUGAUAAAGUAAAAUUGUAAACUUA
This is a long non-coding RNA of Parus major (Great Tit), 703 nucleotides long. RefSeq lists it as uncharacterized. Lineage: Eukaryota; Metazoa; Chordata; Aves; Passeriformes; Paridae. The transcript has 2 exons. The record is from RefSeq and is a predicted model, not a curated record.